AGAGUUUGAUCAUGGCUCAGGACGAACGCUUGCGGCGUGCUUAACACAUGCAAGUCGAGCGGUAAGGCCUUUCGGGGUACACGAGCGGCGAACGGGUGAGUAACACGUGGGUGAUCUGCCCUGCACUUCGGGAUAAGCCUGGGAAACUGGGUCUAAUACCGGAUAUGACCUCAGGUUGCAUGACUUGGGGUGGAAAGAUUUAUCGGUGCAGGAUGGGCCCGCGGCCUAUCAGCUUGUUGGUGGGGUAAUGGCCUACCAAGGCGACGACGGGUAGCCGACCUGAGAGGGUGACCGGCCACACUGGGACUGAGACACGGCCCAGACUCCUACGGGAGGCAGCAGUGGGGAAUAUUGCACAAUGGGCGAAAGCCUGAUGCAGCGACGCCGCGUGAGGGAUGACGGCCUUCGGGUUGUAAACCUCUUUCAGCAGGGACGAAGCGCAAGUGACGGUACCUGCAGAAGAAGCACCGGCUAACUACGUGCCAGCAGCCGCGGUAAUACGUAGGGUGCAAGCGUUGUCCGGAAUUACUGGGCGUAAAGAGUUCGUAGGCGGUUUGUCGCGUCGUUUGUGAAAACCAGCAGCUCAACUGCUGGCUUGCAGGCGAUACGGGCAGACUUGAGUACUGCAGGGGAGACUGGAAUUCCUGGUGUAGCGGUGAAAUGCGCAGAUAUCAGGAGGAACACCGGUGGCGAAGGCGGGUCUCUGGGCAGUAACUGACGCUGAGGAACGAAAGCGUGGGUAGCGAACAGGAUUAGAUACCCUGGUAGUCCACGCCGUAAACGGUGGGCGCUAGGUGUGGGUUCCUUCCACGGAAUCCGUGCCGUAGCUAACGCAUUAAGCGCCCCGCCUGGGGAGUACGGCCGCAAGGCUAAAACUCAAAGGAAUUGACGG
This 892-nucleotide ribosomal RNA is filed under the name Rhodococcus erythropolis. Its description in RNAcentral is "bacterial SSU rRNA". It matches the Rfam family "Bacterial small subunit ribosomal RNA", at positions 8 to 916 of the family's 1533-position model. Lineage: Bacteria; Bacillati; Actinomycetota; Actinomycetes; Mycobacteriales; Nocardiaceae. The record is from RNAcentral.